AUGGCAGAGCGAUCAGUCGCGGGAAACCGAGGAAAGUCCGCACAGGGAAGGGCACCCGUCUGCGGAAAGCGCAGUGGAGAGUAAUCUUCAGAUAUCGUAACAGAAAACAACCGCCCUGCAAAGGGUAAGGGUGAAAACGCGGGGUAAGAGCCCACGACGCUUUGCGGCGACGUAAAGCGGGUACGCAUCCGGGCCUGCAAGACCAAAUAUACCGGCAGUUGAGGGCUGCCCGCCUGAUGCCGGGGGGUAGGUUGCGAAGAUAAAUGACAGAUUUAAAAACAGAAAGCGGCUUACGGCCCUGCCAUUUCC
Molecule: RNase P RNA, 309 nt
Filed under: Bacteroidales bacterium
Lineage: Bacteria; Pseudomonadati; Bacteroidota; Bacteroidia; Bacteroidales
Description: RNase P RNA component class A
Rfam family: Bacterial RNase P class A
About the family: Ribonuclease P (RNase P) is a ubiquitous endoribonuclease, found in archaea, bacteria and eukarya as well as chloroplasts and mitochondria.
Source: RNAcentral